GAGUUUGAUCCUGGCUCAGAUUGAACGCUGGCGGCAUGCCUUACACAUGCAAGUCGAACGGUAACGGGCCUUCGGGUGCCGACGAGUGGCGAACGGGUGAGUAAUGUAUCGGAACGUGCCUUUCAGUGGGGGAUAACGUAGCGAAAGUUACGCUAAUACCGCAUAUUCUGUGAGCAGGAAAGCAGGGGAUCGCAAGACCUUGCGCUGAUUGAGCGGCCGAUAUCAGAUUAGCUAGUUGGUGAGGUAAAGGCUCACCAAGGCGACGAUCUGUAGCGGGUCUGAGAGGAUGAUCCGCCACACUGGAACUGAGACACGGUCCAGACUCCUACGGGAGGCAGCAGUGGGGAAUUUUGGACAAUGGGGGCAACCCUGAUCCAGCCAUGCCGCGUGAGUGAAGAAGGCCUUCGGGUUGUAAAGCUCUUUCGGCCGGGAAGAAAUCGUAUGGGCUAAUACCCUGUGCGGAUGACGGUACCGGCAUAAGAAGCACCGGCUAACUACGUGCCAGCAGCCGCGGUAAUCCC
Molecule: ribosomal RNA, 521 nt
Filed under: uncultured bacterium
Lineage: Bacteria
Description: bacterial SSU rRNA
Rfam family: Bacterial small subunit ribosomal RNA
Source: RNAcentral